CCCCCUACUCCCUCCCCACAGGUGAUUCUAAUGAGUGGCCAAGGUUAAGAACCCCCGCUGAGAUGGUGUGAAGGCACCAAUCACCAAUAACUCUGGGUGGGGGCACAGGUGGUUCUCCCAACCCUGAAGGUUUAAGAAGAAGAUGGGACCUUGCCCUAGGGAGGCACUCUCCAGCUGCAAAGAAGAGGUUAACUCAUGUUAGCAUCUGGCUGAGUCCUAAGGGAAGAGGAUGACACAGGGCAGAAUCGAAAGACCACCUGCAUCCCUUUGCUUAUGGCCCCUUCCUUAAAUCACACCAAACUCCUGCUCCCAUCGUCAUAUCUGCUCCUGAGUCUGACCCUCCCCCUUCCUGUGAGGAUGCUUGGGAUUAUAUUGGGCUCCAGAUGAUCCCCAUCUCAAGGCCCUUGAGCAGCCAUAAUAGACUCACGGGGGCUGUGGCCUCUCCGCAGAGCCCCCCGGAUACCACAAGGCAUAUACGUUCCUCAAGGCGGCAGGUUUACCUCGCAGAACGCAGUAGCCUGAGGUUCUGGAUUGCAGACUGCCUGGGUGUCAGUCACUGCCCUGGCCGGCUGGGGGCCUUGGGCACGUCACCUCCCCUUCCUGCACCUUGACUUCCCUCGCCUGUGAGAUUGGCUUUUAUAAUGCCCACCAGAGCCCCUUUGCUUCUGGUCAGAGCCCCCCUCCCCUCACAGGGGCAUGCCCUUGUGCACAUUCCCCUGAAGGCUGGUCUCCAGGUGCACACUGAGAGGGGACCCAGGGAAGAAGAGUGUGGCCUCUCUGGGGAUGUGUAGGGCCACCAGGAACAGACACACUUGGGGUCCCUUAAGUCAUCAGGGCGUCCUUGCAAGGAAAGAAGAAAGGAAGCAAAUGGGAGUCUCGACCUCAAAAUCAGCAGCAGGAGCUGGGAAGGCUGUUCAGGACAGCGUGCAGUGCUAGUGCUCCCCUCAUCGUUUGGCCCCCUUGGAAGUGGGCGUCCAUUUCUUUUGAUUUGAGAGCUUUGUCUUUCCGGAAAUUCACUUCCUGUUCGUUUUUGCUUCUCUCUUCCUUCCCACGCCUAUUAGCUGCUCUCCCUUCUCCUCUCUGACCAGCGGCUUCUGCUGCUUUUCAGCCUCUGCUCCCACCACCAACUGCUUCCCUCGGUCUCUGUGCCAUAUUUUCAUUGCAGAGGCCAGACCCUCUGCAGCCUUCAGCAACAUUGAUGUCGUGAAAGGGAAAGAGGUGGAGGGACUGGUCCAGAAGAAAGGAGACUAAAGAGACAUGACAACCGAGUGGAAUAUGGGAUCCUGGGCUGGAGGGAAACAGUGCUGCAAAGAACAUUAGUGACAAACUGGCUAUGGAUGGGAGAGCAGUUAAAAUACUGUGUCGAUGUUAAUUUCCCUCAUUUGCUAAUUGUGCUGUAGUUGUGUAAGACAAUGACCUUUGAUCUUAGCAAAAACACACUGAAGUAUGAAGGGGUAAAGGGGCAUGAUUUAUGCAACCUCCUCUCAAAUGGUUCAGAAAAAAUUAGAUAAUAAUAUGCGUUUUUAAAAGAGGUCUCCAAUGACUCUCUUCUUGCUAAAUUC
Molecule: long non-coding RNA, 1562 nt
Organism: Equus caballus (horse)
Lineage: Eukaryota; Metazoa; Chordata; Mammalia; Perissodactyla; Equidae
Source: Ensembl